Molecule: non-coding RNA, 3069 nt
Organism: Solanum lycopersicum (tomato)
Lineage: Eukaryota; Viridiplantae; Streptophyta; Magnoliopsida; Solanales; Solanaceae
Source: RefSeq, a predicted model, not a curated record
UGUCUAUCUACUUUCCUUCUUUCCCUAUUUACUUCUCCUCCACAUUGGCUUCUACAUUGAUUUCUCCUCCACAAUUCCUCUCCAUUAAUCUCCAUUUUUCCUCAAAUUUCGCUUCAAUGUUGCUGUCUAGAUAAUACAAAUUACAGGUUUUAUCGCAUAGUGGUCAGAAAUUACAGAGAAGAAGAGCUGUAGAAUACAAUUGACGUAACAAUCUUUUUGAGCUUAAAUUUCAUCAAAUUAUUGUUUUGUUCUUGCAUGCAGCAUCAGAUUUGAUUCUUGUAGCCAUGAGACUAUUUUGGUGUAUUUUGUUUCUGCUCUUGAAAUUUGAAUACUUCAACAAAUAUUGGUGGGGCGACAAGUAGUUGUGUUUAUAUAUUUAGGAUUGAAGAUUUGUUGUUUGAGAUUUGAGAAAAUCGCUUUGGCUUUCACUUCUUCAGCUGUAAUUCAUGGUUCUCUUUCUUCUUCAUCUUCAUAUGAACAACAACAACCUAGAGGUUACCCAUUACUCUUUUUCUCUCCAUUUUUUCAGUUUUUGUUUUUAAUUCUGUAAAUGUGCUAGAGAUUUUUCUCAUCCGGGUUUCAUUUUUUUUCUUCUUUGGUUCUCAAAUUUUCAAUUUUUUCACUUAAAACUGUUAAUAUGAUAAAGAUCAGAGAAUUUUAACAUCUGGGUUUGCUAUUUCUUUGUUUGAGUUCCUAAAGUUUCAAUUUUUACACUUAAAAGUGUUAAUGUGAUGAAUAUCAGACAAUUUUAUACUCCCUCUUCUAAAUAAGGGAGAUAUUGUGAAUUCAUAGAACAUUUGUCAGUAGUUUUAAUCCUUUCCCAUGCAUCCACAUUGUUGUCACCGAAACUCCACCAACUACAUCUUCCCUCUCCGUCGGUAACCAUGCAAGCUAUCCAAUCUUCAUCUCUCUGGCCAUCUCCGGUCGACCCAUUUCUCAAAACCAUACCCCAAUUCACCAAUGUAAAGCCAUUGAUACCCAAAAGAACCCCUUUUAUCUCAGCUUCAUCCACUACAGUUUCAGCUCCAACAAGGGAAAAAGACCCUGAAAAGCGUGUUGUUAUAACUGGGAUGGGUCUUCUUUCUGUGUUUGGGAAUGAUGUUGAUGCUUAUUAUGAUAAGUUAUUGGCUGGUGAAAGUGGGGUUACUCUAAUUCAUCGAUUUUGUGAUUGUACUGGCCAUGUGUGUUUUCAUUAUAUUAUUUACUUGGUAUGACAUUGCUAUUGACAAAAUAUAUUUAUGUGAACAAUUUAAAAGUAGCAGUAACUUCAUUUUAGAGUUUUUUUUAUACAUUAAAAAUUGAUUUAUAGUUUCAGAUUUUUUUGUAUCAACAACCUCUAUACAUUUUGCACUGAACCCGAGGAGAGGAUAAAGUAAUGAAGUCGCACUAUGUCUUAACAACAAAGCCUGACAUACUGUUCAACCGUGAAGUUACUUCCAUGAUUCAUCAUCAUCAUUGCCAAAUGACAUUGAAUGGGAAAAUCUUUUUUAUUGUCUUACUAUUCCCUCGAAUGAUAGUUACAUUUCAUUUGAAAUAACAUUCGAAGCAAGAUAAAAACAAAAGACCAUAUAGGAUAUUAAAAAGUAUAAUGUUCAUUCCUUUUUGUACAACUAAUUAAUAGAGUAGUGUUCAACCCCUUUUUAGUAUAAUUUUUACUGCUUUUUGUACAAUGCACAUAGUGGUAUUCACUCUCUCAUUUCUAGAAGAGAGUAAUGUAUAUUGUUAUAUGUCUUUAUAUGUUUUUGAUGAUUGUGUGACAUUUACAUCUGUUGAACUGUGACCAUGAAGAAAAAGAAAGACUAAUAUAAGCAAACUUAUUUAGUUGAAGAAAUAUUUUAUCAGGUGAUAGUAUAGCAGUGAAGUAAGAAGUAUUACUAUGAAAGGGAAUUUAAUUAAUAGUGACUCGACUGAUCAUUAUACGAAACUGUUUUUGGGCUUACAACCCAAAUGACGUGCUUCAUAGCACGCAAGAUAGAGUUGCUACAUUCUUUAUAAUAACAUAAAUUGUAAUUUUGAAACUUCACUGAUAUAUUUUACACAAAUUGAUUAUUGGUCAGAGGAUUGUAGUUAUGAGAUAAUGGUUUAAAAUGACUACAGGGAAGCUUUUUAAUGCUGGAGAAAUUCUCAAGUUUUUUUGUUAUGCUUUUUGGUGAUAAAAAAAGUAAAUCACCCUAUGCUUUCAACAUAUAGUGUAAUCCCAAUGAUACUACUUUGUAUUAAAUUGCUCAGGUUGUAAGCUUGAAUAGUAGCUAAUGGUUUCUCUUUAUCUUAACAGGCUAUAUAUGUGUUUCUCUAUAAUUUUAUCCUUCUUUUAGUAAGAUUUGCUAUAGCUCACUUGAUAUAUACUUAAACACAUAAUAGUAACCAACAAACUCUUAACACUUAUUGUGUGAUAUUUACUGAUUGAUGAAACCUCCUCAUAAGAAAAUUAAUUUGUCUUCUGCGUUAUUUCUGUUGGUGUGUUGAUUAUUGAAAUGGUUGUGUUUUAGGUUUAUAUUACAUGAGGUUAAUCAAAGGAGUGGUGAGUCUUACGUAUGUAUGUACAGAUUUGGCCUUAUCAUUUUUAGUUGCUUCGUUUAUUUCUUUCGAUUAAGUCAUGCUUAUAACAGCUAAGAAACGUUGACAAUUGUGUUUCAAACAAAACCUAUAAUACAUAGUAUUACCAUAGAUGUCUGCAAUAUGAAUUUAGGUCCAGCUAGAAAGAAUGAUCUAUGUAAAAGGAAUUAUGAGGCUAGAAAAAAAUAGAAGAGAUUCUACUUAUUAAGUUGCUUACAGUCUGUAUGGAUAGUAUGACUUGAAAACUUUAGUCUUGGUAUUGAAUUUGGUAAGCUUUCUCUUCAGAUCAUUGGCUCUUUUCCUCCUCUAUUUCGUUAUUCGUAACAACAGAUUUGCUAACCGUGGAAGCAAAUUGUAGCGUGAUGCAGUAAAUUAUCAACUCAACUAAGAGCUAACGGAAAGCCACUGGUAUGGACAAUAAGAAUGGAAGAAAAUAGAGAUAAUGUGUCUGCCCAAGAAAGAACUUCUGAGAGAAAUUUGCGUCGUCGUACCAGAUAUGCACAGAUGUCACCA